UACCCGCCCCCCGAGUGUUGGGGACUAUUACUGGGCUUAAAGCGCCCGUAGCCGGCCGGGUGUGUCCUCCGUUAAAUCCACGGGCCUAACCCGUGGGCUGCGGAGGAUACUACCCGGCUUGGGGGUGGGAGAGGGCGGCGGUAUUCCCGGGGUAGGGGUAAAAUCCACUGAUCCCGGGAGGACCACCAGUGGCGAAGGCGGCCGCCCAGAACACGCCCGACGGUGAGGGGCGAAAGCUGGGGGAGCAAACGGG
This 253-nucleotide ribosomal RNA is filed under the name uncultured archaeon. RNAcentral's name for it is "partial 16S ribosomal RNA". It matches the Rfam family "Archaeal small subunit ribosomal RNA", at positions 474 to 727 of the family's 1478-position model. The record is from RNAcentral.